UACGUAGGGGGCAAGCGUUGUCCGGAUUUAUUGGGCGUAAAGAGCGUGUAGGCGGCCUGAAAGGUCAGCUGUGAAAACUCGAGGCUCAACCUCGAGACGUCGGUUGAAACCAUCUGGCUAGAGUCCGGAAGAGGAGAAUGGAAUUCCUGGCGUAGCGGUGAAAUGCGCAGAUAUCAGGAAGAACACCCGUGGCGAAGGCGGUUCUCUGGGACGGUACUGACGCUGAGACGCGAAAGCGUGGGGAGCGAACAGG
This 253-nucleotide ribosomal RNA is filed under the name uncultured bacterium. Its description in RNAcentral is "partial 16S ribosomal RNA". It matches the Rfam family "Bacterial small subunit ribosomal RNA", at positions 524 to 776 of the family's 1533-position model. The record is from RNAcentral.